AAUAAAAUAAUAAUAGGACGAUAUCAUCCUUUUUCAUCUUCUCUAAACCGAUUUUUUCAGCCAAAAAAUGGGUUUUGAAAGCUUCAUAUUUUCAGCAACUUUGAGGCUUAGCAAGGUUUCCAGGUUUGUUCGGGUUGGAGUUCGUCGGAGAUAUUAUCACACUGUCAAGCUACCGCUAUUGAUGUAGUGAUUUCAAGUACUUUAAGUCUAUGGCAUGUAUAGGAGUUUAAAUAUUAGAGUAUGUGAUAUGGCUUUGACCAUAUGUGUUGGCCUAUUUUGAUUAUGGGAUUAUAAAUUCAUUUUAAUUAUUUGAGA
Molecule: long non-coding RNA, 315 nt
Organism: Gossypium arboreum
Lineage: Eukaryota; Viridiplantae; Streptophyta; Magnoliopsida; Malvales; Malvaceae
Exons: 2
Source: RefSeq, a predicted model, not a curated record